GAGUUUGAUCCUGGCUCAAGAUGACCUUUGGCGGCGUGCUUAACACAUGCAAGUCGAACGGGAUCCAUCAUGCUUUGCUUGGUGGUGAGAGUGGCGAACGGGUGAGUAAUGCGUGACCGACCUGCCCCAUACACCGGAAUAGCUCCUGGAAACGGGUGGUAAUGCCGGAUGCUCCGACUCCUCGCAUGGGGUGUCGGGAAAGAUUUCAUCGGUAUGGGAUGGGGUCGCGUCCUAUCAGGUAGUCGGCGGGGUAACGGCCCACCGAGCCUACGACGGGUAGCCGGCCUGAGAGGGCGACCGGCCACAUUGGGACUGAGAUACGGCCCACACUCCUACGGGAGGCAGCAGUGGGGAAUAUUGCACAAUGGGCGCAAGCCUGAUGCAGCGACGCCGCGUGCGGGAUGACGGCCUUCGGGUUGUAAACCGCUUUUGAUCGGGAGCAAGCCUUCGGGUGAGUGUACCUUUCGAAUAAGCACCGGCUAACUACGUGCCAGCAGCCGCGGUAAUACGUAGGGUGCAAGCGUUAUCCGGAAUUAUUGGGCGUAAAGGGCUCGUAGGCGGUUCGUCGCGUCCGGUGUGAAAGUCCAUCGCUUAACGGUGGAUCUGCGCCGGGUACGGGCGGGCUGGAGUGCGGUAGGAGAGACUGUAAUUCCCGGUGUUUCGGUGGGUUGUGUUGGUUUCGGGGGGGUCCCCCUUGGCGGUGGCGGGUCUUUGGGCCGUUCCUGUCGCUGGGGGGCGGGUGCGUGGGGGGCCCUCAAAAAUUCCUUCCCUGGUUGUUCCCGCCGUNNNCCGGCCCCAAAAAGGGGUGGGGGCCGUUCCACGGGGUUCCGGGUCGGAGCUAACGCGUUAAGCAUCCCGCCUGGGGAGUACGGCCGCAAGGCUAAAACUCAAAGAAAUUGACGGGGGCCCGCACAAGCGGCGGAGCAUGCGGAUUAAUUCGAUGCAACGCGAAGAACCUUACCUGGGCUUGACAUGUUCCCGACAGCCGUAGAGAUAUGGCCUCCCUUCGGGGCGGGUUCACAGGUGGUGCAUGGUCGUCGUCAGCUCGUGUCGUGAGAUGUUGGGUUAAGUCCCGCAACGAGCGCAACCCUCGCCCUGUGUUGCCAGCACGUCAUGGUGGGAACUCACGGGGGACCGCCGGGGUCAACUCGGAGGAAGGUGGGGAUGACGUCAGAUCAUCAUGCCCCUUACGUCCAGGGCUUCACGCAUGCUACAAUGGCCGGUACAACGGGAUGCGACACGGCGACGUGGAGCGGAUCCCUGAAAACCGGUCUCAGUUCGGAUUGGAGUCUGCAACCCGACUCCAUGAAGGCGGAGUCGCUAGUAAUCGCGGAUCAGCAACGCCGCGGUGAAUGCGUUCCCGGGCCUUGCACACACGGCCCGUC
RNAcentral lists this ribosomal RNA (1385 nucleotides) under uncultured bacterium. RNAcentral's name for it is "16S ribosomal RNA". It matches the Rfam family "Bacterial small subunit ribosomal RNA". The record is from RNAcentral.